This 383-nucleotide ribosomal RNA is filed under the name uncultured soil bacterium. RNAcentral's name for it is "bacterial SSU rRNA". It matches the Rfam family "Bacterial small subunit ribosomal RNA", at positions 26 to 412 of the family's 1533-position model. The record is from RNAcentral.
AGGACGAACGCUGGCGGCGUGCUUAACACAUGCAAGUCGAGCGGUAAGGCUCCUUCGGGAGUACACGAGCGGUGAACGGGUGAGUAACACGUGAGCAAUCUGCCCUUCUCUUCGGAAUAACCAUUGGAAACGAUGGCUAAUGCCGAAUACGACCUCCUUUCGCAUGAUCGGAGGUGGAAAGCUCCGGCGGAGAAGGAUGAGCUCGCGGCCUAUCAGCUAGUUGGCGGGGUAACGGCCCACCAAGGCGACGACGGGUAGCCGGCCUGAGAGGGUGACCGGCCACACUGGGACUGAGACACGGCCCAGACUCCUACGGGAGGCAGCAGUGGGGAAUAUUGGACAAUGGGCGAAAGCCUGAUCCAGCAACGCCGCGUGAGGAUGAC